ACAAAGGAGUAGUAGCUGAAUUUGAUUCUCCAGUAAACCUCAUUGCAGCUGGAGGCAUCUUCUAUGGGAUGGCCAAAGAUGCAGGACUCGCCUAGAAUCUGCAUUCCAAAGGUUUCUUCCUUGUCUGAAUCGGACAGCAAGUAGCUGCAGCAUGGAUUUGAUGGCAACGAGUGGGGACAUUUGAGUUGGUUUUGGUUUUUUUUUGUUUUUUGUUUUUUUUUUUUUUUUUAAAUUCUGCAAAUUGCCUUACAGACUAGCCAUACUUAACAGUGGAAUGAGGAAGUGGGUCCUUGGAGGUCACAGCCAGUUCACAGCCAAGUUCAGACCAGUCCCUGGGUCUCCUAGACCUAGUCUACCAUUAUUCCCGUACUGCAUUUUUUUUUGGUUCUUUUUUUCAGAGCUGGGGACCGAACCCAGGGCCUUGCGCUUCCUAGGUAAGCGCUCUACCACUGAGCUAAAUCCCCAGCCCCCGUACUGCAGUUUUUAAGAGACCCUGCUCCUGCCUCUACAUAUUCAUAGUUUCCAAUUUUUUUUUUAAAUGAGCCUUUCUCCUUCUGGACCAGGGACUGCUAGGUCAGUCUGUCCGGGGAACAGAAUCCCUGGUUGGUGCUGUCUGAAUCCACUGACGAAAUAAAGCCAUGAGCAGCAGCAUUUGUA
This 657-nucleotide long non-coding RNA is filed under the name Rattus norvegicus (Norway rat). RNAcentral describes it as "long non-coding RNA NONRATT005891". Lineage: Eukaryota; Metazoa; Chordata; Mammalia; Rodentia; Muridae. The record is from RNAcentral.